UACAGAGGUCCCAAGCGUUGUUCGGAUUCAUAGGGCGUAAAGGGUGCGUAGGUGGCGCCAUAAGUGGGGUGUGAAAUCUCGGGGCUUAACUCCGAAACUGCAUUCCAUACUGUGGUGCUUGAGGACUGGAGAGGAGACUGGAAUUUACGGUGUAGCAGUGAAAUGCGUAGAUAUCGUAAGGAAGACCAGUGGCGAAGGCGAGUCUCUGGACAGUUACUGACGCUGAGGCACGAAGGCCAGGGGAGCAAACGGG
RNAcentral lists this ribosomal RNA (253 nucleotides) under uncultured bacterium. RNAcentral's name for it is "partial 16S ribosomal RNA". It matches the Rfam family "Bacterial small subunit ribosomal RNA", at positions 524 to 776 of the family's 1533-position model. The record is from RNAcentral.